CACAUGUGGUCACUUUAGAUUACAGCGCUGGAAUUCUGAUAAGCGCCGAGCUCGAGCUGAGUCUGUCCCCGCCAACGCACCUGCUCGUGACAGAAAAACACACAGCCACUGGAUAGAGAAAGUCGAAGUUAUCGGCAGGAGAAGCUGGCGUUUGCAGGAUUCGUGAGAUAAAGUCAAGUCCUGGUUGGAUAUGUUACAUUUGGCUGCUUCUUCUUGAAUGAGAUGGAUAUCUUGGUACUUGGAGCACUUGAGAUGUUAUGAGGUCUGCAAAAAUCCCUCUGCAAAACUGCUUGUAGUUCAACCUGAGGAGCUCAACAACUACUUCCCCCUGUCAGCGUAUAUGGUUCAAGACAGACUUCUGGUUUCCCCUAGAGCAUUCCUGCUUCAUUGAGGUGGGUUGACCAGAGUUAAAUCAGCACCUCUCUUACAGUUUUUUAACUAAAUACAA
This is a long non-coding RNA of Melanotaenia boesemani (Boeseman's rainbowfish), 448 nucleotides long. RefSeq lists it as uncharacterized. The record is from RefSeq and is a predicted model, not a curated record. The transcript has 4 exons. Lineage: Eukaryota; Metazoa; Chordata; Actinopteri; Atheriniformes; Melanotaeniidae.